Molecule: long non-coding RNA, 235 nt
Filed under: Elaeis guineensis (African oil palm)
Lineage: Eukaryota; Viridiplantae; Streptophyta; Magnoliopsida; Arecales; Arecaceae
Description: long non-coding RNA (EGUI_LNC009096)
Source: RNAcentral
GGCCCAUUUCAGAACUCCCAUUCAUCUUCAUCCAUAUCGUUAUGCCCUUUCGAUGGUUCUGAUGUCGAACCAUCAAAGUGUGGAACCUGCUCAGUAAUGUAGUUAAUAACAAUAGCAACUGUGUAAGUGCGAGAGCCUACCAUUACCUCAACCUUCUCCGAAAUACUCAAGAUAUCUUCACAGAAGAAGAUGAUAUCGAAGCCUGAAAUAUCUCCCCAUCUUAGGCUAGAUCGAC